GGGGAGUGAUUGCUUCCUACAAGACCACAAAACAUGUACAUUUCUAGACAUCUUUGAAACGUGAGUCAGUGGUUUCUUGCAUCAAACACCAUUUCCAGUCACCUCCUGGUCUGAAGGACAAGUGGAUAAACAGGUUCACGUCAAGUCCUGCGUGUGUUUUUUUUUUCAAAGGUCUCAUGAAAUGUAGGUCUACACUGAACACCACACAUUGGCUGCUACUGUAGGCUGACUGAUAGAACAGCUAUUUCCAUGUUAAACAAAUUGCACUGUCUGUCUGUAUUAUCAGCACCAGACAACAGUUUUUCUACAUGAAUGUACCAGUAAGAUUGAUAAGAGUAAUCUUGUUAGUAUUUGAAUAUACGCACAUGUGUACACUUUGUUUAUGAUGACCUGAAACAUGGAAUAUUACAUCAAAAGAUGUGUAAAUAAAGUCUAACCUUGGCAGCACACAGCAUGGCAGAGUGGUCAACAUCUUCCAUGGGUUUAUAUUCCAGCACUAUGUCUCCAUCCUGGUAGAAAUGACGAGAAGGAAUGUUCAGUCUGAUCUGUGGACAUCAUAACAGGGAAAGAUAAAUCUCAUUCUGUUGUUCCCUAUCGACAUACCUGGUCCAGGACACGCAGGGAUCCUGAAGUCAGAGAGUCCUGCUCCUCACUCCUUUCUGGGUUGCCCAGGACCUCCACAUCCGGCAUCUUCACCUGUGGGAUCAUCUGAGACCAGCCACCUGGACAGCUGAUGAAACUGAGGAGUAUUUAUUUCUGUAAGAAAGCCUUUUUGGGGGGAAAAACUCAUUCUGAUUGGCUGGGCCUGGCCCCCCAUCUGUGCCCCUUCCCAGUCAUGUGAAAUACAUAGAUUAGGGCCUAAUGAAUUUAUUUCAAUUGACUGAUUUCCUUAAAUGAGCAGCAGCUCAGUAAAAUAGUUGAAAUAGUUGCAUGUUGCAGUUCUACAUAAGUUCAGUAUAUAUAAAUAUAUAUAUAAACAUGGAAGGAUCAUGCCUGUAACAUGUUAGGAUCACGUCUGUAACAUGUUAGGAUCACACCUGUAACAUGUUAUGUUUCAUUUCUACUUUAGUUCAGUAUAUAUAUAUAUAAACAUGUUAGGAUCACGCCUGUAACAUGUUAUGUUUCAAUUCUACUUUAGUUCAGUAUAUAUAUAUAAACAUGUUAGGAUCAUGCCUGUAACAUGUUAGGAUCAUGCCUGUAACAUGUUAGGAUCAUGCCUGUAACAUGUUAGGAUCAUGCCUGUAACAUGUUAGGAUCAUA
This is a long non-coding RNA of Oncorhynchus tshawytscha (Chinook salmon), 1260 nucleotides long. NCBI's taxonomy places the organism in Eukaryota, Metazoa, Chordata, Actinopteri, Salmoniformes, Salmonidae. The record is from Ensembl.